Molecule: long non-coding RNA, 598 nt
Organism: Alligator mississippiensis (American alligator)
Lineage: Eukaryota; Metazoa; Chordata; Crocodylia; Alligatoridae
Exons: 3
Source: RefSeq, a predicted model, not a curated record
GGUAGGGACAGGACUAUAAAAACUCUGGGCAGAGCGACAGCUGGGGGGGAGUUGUUGAAGGGGAAGGAGUGUCUCAGAGAGCUCCAUGGAGGAGUGGUCCAAAGGUGGGAAGAGGGGAGCCACGAAGCCCCAGAGAGAUGGCAACCACAUCACAGCAAGGAUGCGCGCUGAUGGUGGGCAGCCGAAGCAUGGACCCUGUGAAUAACAUGGAAAGUGGGAGAUUGAAGUUCAAAUCCCUUCAGGCAGAAGAAGAAACUGAAAUGGGAUCUCCAAAAUGCUGGAACAACAAGGAAGAUUUUUUUACCUCUCUGUCUGCCAUAUGACACCUCCAGGGAAGGAAUUCUAUCUGCUCAACUCAUCAAAGGACUACUCAACACAGCUCACACACUGUCAUGGACCCAGAGGGACAGCCUUCCAUCUUCAGCCCCCCUCUGUGCAAAAAUGAAGUUUAUUUCCUACCUAUGGGGACUUUUUACCAUCUUGUACCAUCUACACUUUUCCCAGAGUCUGAUGAAGGGACUUUGAUCCUGAAAGCUUGCAGAAAAGGACAGUUUUCUUGCCAUUUUCCAGUUGGUCUAAUAAAAGGUAUAAUUUUGGA